RNAcentral lists this unclassified non-coding RNA (401 nucleotides) under plant metagenome. RNAcentral describes it as "partial contains 5.8S ribosomal RNA, internal transcribed spacer 2, and large subunit ribosomal RNA". The stretch from base 1 to 106 matches the Rfam family "5.8S ribosomal RNA", at positions 49 to 154 of the family's 154-position model. The record is from RNAcentral.
CGAAAUGCGAUACGUAGUGUGAAUUGCAGAAUUCCGUGAACCAUCGAAUCUUUGAACGCAUAUUGCGCCCGAAGCUUCGGCUUAGGGCAUGCCUGCCUCAGCGUCUUAAAAGGACGAGCCCUCGCAUAAACGCGAAACGCUCGUGACUGAUCUUGCAGCAAAAUUAACCCCCCCAUUGCUUCGGAUCGGGAUGCGGUCUUCCCAUGGCUACGCAAUGGGCCGAUUGAGAAUGAGGACCCGGGCGAGGAACACAUACGCUUCAACUGGACAGGUUCACAUCAAACCGUAUGCGUAACACCAAGUUGAGGCGUGGACUUUGCACGUGUCAAGCAGGAAGCCAAGAAAUUGGCACCACAUACGUUCGACCUGAGCUCAGGCAAGACUACCCGCUGAACUUAAGC